UGUGGAUAGCGGAGAAAUUCCAAUCGAACCCGGAGAUAGCUGGUUCUCCUCGAAAUAGCUUUAGGGCUAGCCUCGAGAACUAGGAACAUGGGGGUAGAGCACUGAAUGAGCUAGGGGGCCUCAAAGCUUACCGAACUCUAUCAAACUCCGAAUACCAUGUGACCGAUACUCGGGAGUCAGACUACGUGAGAUAAGUCUCGUGGUCAAAAGGGAAACAGCCCAGACCAACGACUAAGGUCCCAAAGUGCAGGUUAAGUGGAAAAGGAUGUGCAAUUGCUUAGACAACCAGGAUGUUGGCUUAGAAGCAGCCACUCAUUUAAAGAGUGCGUAAUAGCUCACUGGUCGAGUGAUUGUGCGCCGAAAAUGUACCGGGGCUAAACCUGCCACCGAAGUCUUGGAAUUCAGUUUACUGGAUUGGUAGAGGAGCAUCGUGCAUGGGCUGAAGCAUGACCGGAAGGACAUGUGGACUGUGCACGAGAGAGAAUGCCGGCAUGAGUAGCGAGAGCAGAGUGAGAAUCUCUGCCGUCGAAAGCCUAAGGUUUCCUGAGGAAGGUUCGUCCCCUCAGGGUAAGUCAGGACCUAAGCCGAGGACGAAAGUCGUAGGCGAUGGACAACAGGUUGAUAUUCCUGUACCACCUUAACACGUUAUACGAUGCAGUGACACAGAAGGAUAGGCAAAGCGGGUUGAUGGUAGAACCCGUCCAAGCACUGAGGGUGCAGCGUAGUGAAGUACGCGCUGUGAUAAGCCUGGGGUGUGAUGGGGACAGAAAAUAAGUAUGGAAGUUGCUGAAUUCACGCUGGCGAGAAAAGCUGCUAAGGAGUGUUAUUGGUGCCUGUACCGCAAACCGACACAGGUAGGCGAGGAGAGAAUCCUAAGACGAGCGGGAGAACCCUUGUUAAGGAACUCGGCAAAAUGACCCCGUAACUUUGGGAGAAGGGGUGCCUCGAAAGAGGCCGCAGUGAAUAGGCCCAAGCGACUGUUUAGCAAAAACACAGGUCUGUGCCAAGUCGAGAGACGAUGUAUACAGGCUGACGCCUGCCCAGUGCCGGAAGGUCAAGGGGAAGUGUUAGGGCAACCGAAGCACGGAACUUAAGCCCCGGUGAACGGCGGCCGUAACUAUAACGGUCCUAAGGUAGCGAAAUUCCUUGUCGGGUAAGUUCCGACCCGCACGAAUGGCGUAACGAUUUGGGCACUGUCUCAACAAGGGACCCGGCGAAAUUGUAGUAUGCGUGAAGAUGCGCAUUGCCCGCGAUAGGACGGAAAGACCCCGUAGAGCUUUACUGUAGCUUGGUAUUGGAUUUUGGCAGCGCUUGUACAGGAUAGGUGGGAGGCUAGGAAACGAGGACGCCAGUUUUCGUGGAGCCACCGUUGGGAUACCACUCUUGUGUUGCUGGAGUUCUAACGUCGCGCGGUUAUCCCGGUGACGGACAGUGCCAGGUGGGCAGUUUGACUGGGGCGGUCGCCUCCUAAAAGGUAACGGAGGCGCCCAAAGGUUCCCUCAGAAUGGUCGGAAAUCAUUCGCAGAGUGCAAAAGCAGAAGGGAGCUUGACUGUGAGAGAGACAUCUCGAGCAGGUACGAAAGUAGGGUUUAGUGAUCCGGCGGCAUUAAGUGGGUUAGCCGUCGCUCAACGGAUAAAAGCUACCUCGGGGAUAACAGGCUUAUCUCCCCCAAGAGUCCACAUCGACGGGGAGGUUUGGCACCUCGAUGUCGGCUCGUCGCAUCCUGGGGCUGAAGCAGGUCCCAAGGGUUUGGCUGUUCGCCAAUUAAAGCGGCACGCGAGCUGGGUUCAGAACGUCGUGAGACAGUUCGGUCCCUAUCCAUCGUGGGCGUAGGAAAUUUGAGAGGAGCUGUCCUUAGUACGAGAGGACCAGGAUGGACAUACCUCUGGUGCACCGGUUGUUCUGCCAAGGGCAUAGCCGGGUAGCUAAGUAUGGACGGGAUAAACGCUGAAAGCAUCUAAGCGUGAAGCCCCCCUCAAGAUGAGAUUUCCCUUCCUUUAUGGAGUAAGGCCCCUUGAAGACUACAAGGUUGAUAGGCCAGGUGUGGAAGUGUAGCAAUGCAUGCAGCUGACUGGUACUAAUAGGCCGAGGGCUUGAUCAA
This 2102-nucleotide ribosomal RNA is filed under the name human gut metagenome. RNAcentral describes it as "bacterial LSU rRNA". It matches the Rfam family "Bacterial large subunit ribosomal RNA", at positions 810 to 2925 of the family's 2925-position model. The record is from RNAcentral.